GUUUCAUUGGUGUAACGGCAACAUACAUGUCUGUGACGCAUGAGGCAAGGGUUCAACUCCCUUAUGAAACC
This 71-nucleotide transfer RNA is filed under the name Methanobrevibacter millerae. RNAcentral's name for it is "tRNA_Pseudo_GTG". It matches the Rfam family "tRNA". From Rfam's summary of the family: Transfer RNA (tRNA) molecules are approximately 80 nucleotides in length. Their secondary structure includes four short double-helical elements and three loops (D, anti-codon, and T loops). Lineage: Archaea; Methanobacteriati; Methanobacteriota; Methanobacteria; Methanobacteriales; Methanobacteriaceae. The record is from RNAcentral.